Molecule: ribosomal RNA, 232 nt
Filed under: uncultured bacterium
Lineage: Bacteria
Description: partial 16S ribosomal RNA
Rfam family: Bacterial small subunit ribosomal RNA
Source: RNAcentral
UGAGUAACCUGCCCUUAACUCUGGGAUAAGCCUGGGGAACUGGGUCUAAUACCGGAUAUGACUCCUCAUCGCAUGGUGGGGGGUGGAAAGCUUUUUGUGGUUUUGGAUGGACUCGCGGCCCAUCAGCUUGUUGGUGAGGUAAUGGCUCACCAAGGCGACGACGGGUAGCCGGCCUGAGAGGGUGACCGGCCACACUGGGACUGAGACACGGCCCAGACUCCUACGGGAGCAG